GAUGAACGCUGGCGGCGUGCUUAACACAUGCAAGUCGAACGAAGCACUCUAUUUGAUUUUCUUCGAAAAUGAAGAUUUUGUGACUGAGUGGCGGACGGGUGAGUAACGCGUGGGUAACCUGCCUCAUACAGGGGGAUAACAGUUGGAAACGACUGCUAAUACCGCAUAAGCGCACAGGAUUGCAUGAUCCAGUGUGAAAAACUCCGGUGGUAUGAGAUGGACCCGCGUCUGAUUAGCCAGUUGGCAGGGUAACGGCCUACCAAAGCGACGAUCAGUAGCCGACCUGAGAGGGUGACCGGCCACAUUGGGACUGAGACACGGCCCAAACUCCUACGGGAGGCAGCAGUGGGGAAUAUUGCACAAUGGGGGAAACCCUGAUGCAGCGACGCCGCGUGAGCGAAGAAGUAUUUCGGUAUGUAAAGCUCUAUCAGCAGGGAAGAA
Molecule: ribosomal RNA, 441 nt
Filed under: uncultured bacterium
Lineage: Bacteria
Description: bacterial SSU rRNA
Rfam family: Bacterial small subunit ribosomal RNA
Source: RNAcentral